Molecule: long non-coding RNA, 667 nt
Filed under: Nicotiana tabacum (common tobacco)
Lineage: Eukaryota; Viridiplantae; Streptophyta; Magnoliopsida; Solanales; Solanaceae
Description: long non-coding RNA (NTAB_LNC017624)
Source: RNAcentral
UUUUUAAUAGGAUGUACAACUUGUAUAGCACAAGUGCAAGGUACAACUCGACGAAGCACGGGCAGAUUCUUUUAAACACGGAUUUGGCUUAUUUCUUUCAUUUGGCUUGAAUUAUUUUGGAGAGCAUUUCAAGGGGGAUUUCAUCAAGCAUCAAAGGUGAGUUGUUUCUACUUAUUUCCAAGUUAAAUACAUGGAUUAGAGCUGAAAACUCAAGUAAAUUAUGGACAAAAAUGGUGGUUUAGGGCUUGAAACUUAAGAGAAUUAAAUGGUGAUUUGAGGGAUCAAAUGAACUCCGAUUUUUGUGAAUUUGGUAUGUAUAGACUCGUGGCGAGAUAAGGGUCGUAUUGAUGUAAAAAUUUCCAAAUUUUGAGACGUGAGCCCGGGGCUCGGGGUUUUGCUAAUUUCGGGAUUUUCGACAUUUUUCGAGUCUUUUCGAUUGGGUUAUAUUCCCUUAGCCUAUUGUAAUGUAUUUGUUGUGGUUUUGACUAGAUUCGACGCGUGAAGAGGUCGAUUCAAGAGGAAAGGGCAUUGAGGACUAGUCUACGGCCGGUUAGAGGUGAGUAAUAGAUGUAAAUGCUGUUCUAAGGGUUUGAAACCCCGGACUUUCACAUCGUAACGCUAUAUUGAGGCAUGACACGCACUCCAUGGCGGGUGCAGGGUCGGAUAC